CUGAGAUGAUUUCUAUGGGAAAGGGACACAGGUGGCUAGAAGUCUCUCCUACACAUGGAUCCUGGUAUAACAUGGACAAAAGAGGAAACGGAAGAAGGAAAGAAAAGAGAAGAAGGAAUAGAAGAAAAGGAAACAAGAAAAGUAAAGAUUUCAGGAUGAAAGUAGAAAACAAGAUGACAGCCAUGAUAUUUUAAAAUGUUACCCAAGCCUAUCUCAGUCACUGGCCAAGGCUCACUACAGUGCUGUCCCCUGCCAUGCCCAAGGGACUCCAUUCUAGGAAGACCAUAGGCUACUUUCCUCAAGGUGCCAUGCAAAGGUACUUCGUUACAAGACUCAUUAAGCAGAUGCUAUUGAUGGCACACUCAAAUCCUCACCCCACCUUUCCUCAACAGCACAGCCUCCAGUUUUAUUCAUGUUUAUUCAAUCUUUCCCUGGGAAGCCGAGUGCUCCAGAAAGGAAAACUUAUUCAUAGACCCAGACGAGCUUAUCUUGAUUAGUUAGGACCUGUAUUUCCCUUGCCAAUGACUGGUUUAACGAGGUGCGGUCACCCAAUCCUGGACAGCGAAACAUGAAUUAAAGUCAGUGGAUGGGCUUCAAGGAAAUGGUCAUCACCUACAUACAAAGAGACAUACUGGAAGAAAUGACCUUGUUUUUCCAGUGAACACUGUCAUUACUUCAUGCUACAACUGGAACUUCGGCAGCAGUCACUCUCAAACCUUUGGGACAAGGCCACCAUGUGAGAGGAAUACUGAAAGAACCUGAAUUCCUGGUAUCAUCACUGAGCCCCUGAAUUACCAGAUGCUGAAAAUUGCUUUGUGCCUGGAUAUUUUUUUUUUUAAUGAGAGACUAAAUUCCUUGUUGCUUACAGCAUUUUGUUUCUUACAGUCAAAAGCCUCCUAACUGUUCUAUGUUUACAUGUUCAUAAAUUCAAAAAGCAAUGGAACAGGGUACUAAUGAGAAAGGAAAGAGCUUGUCCUGUAAGCACGAACACCCUCAUACUUCAACCCAUCUGGCCCUGAUGAAAAGAACUACAAACGGACGAAGAAACAAGUGCCAUGCCAAGCUUCUUGAUCUUUCCUCCUCCUGUCAUGGGAGAAGGAGUCUCCAUAGUUACCUUACUAAAAUCACGUAUAAACUAUUUCUAACAAAUAAAACCCUUCUUAAAAUUUAA
Non-coding RNA from Macaca mulatta (Rhesus monkey), 1171 nucleotides. The record is from RefSeq and is a predicted model, not a curated record. NCBI's taxonomy places the organism in Eukaryota, Metazoa, Chordata, Mammalia, Primates, Cercopithecidae.